CCCAAAUAUCGCUUCUCCUUCCUUCUCUAUAAAAGCCAACCCUCUCACCACUCUGAAUCGAUCAUAUGUGCACCACCGAAGACGAUAAGAUGAGGACAGUCGUCAAGAGUCGUGCUUCUCUCCUCCUCACACUCGUCAUCGUCUUCUUCCUCGUCACAGCGAGAGGGGAGACGACCCCUGUGAAGGAAGCGAAAGCGGAGAUUACAUACCGUGCCCUGCGUCCUAGCAGUCAGCCCGCGCGCCCCGGAGCACCCUAUACAAGGGGAUGCAGGAACAAUGUUUACUGCCGUCCGCCUUCGACCCCAUGAUAGGCUACUUCGGCAGCAUGGAGGAGUAGUUCCUUUGACGACGCAAAAUAUAUACAGGAGGCAGAUACGUACAAUAUAUAUAUAUAUAUAUAUAUAUAUAUAUAUAUAUAUAUAUAUAUAUAUAUAUAUAUAUCUCUUCUCUCCUAAACUUUUUCCAUGGUUGAAAUUGUUGUUACCUUAAAAUCCCUUAGCAAUGGUAAAAGCUCUAGACCUGAUGGAUAUACUGUUGAAUUUAUAAAUUAUAUUGGAUUA
Musa acuminata AAA Group (dessert banana) is the source of this 560-nucleotide long non-coding RNA. RefSeq lists it as uncharacterized. The transcript is spliced from 2 exons. NCBI's taxonomy places the organism in Eukaryota, Viridiplantae, Streptophyta, Magnoliopsida, Zingiberales, Musaceae. The record is from RefSeq and is a predicted model, not a curated record.